RNAcentral lists this ribosomal RNA (465 nucleotides) under uncultured bacterium. Its description in RNAcentral is "partial 16S ribosomal RNA". It matches the Rfam family "Bacterial small subunit ribosomal RNA", at positions 338 to 795 of the family's 1533-position model. The record is from RNAcentral.
CCUACGGGGUGCAGCAGUGGGGAAUAUUGCGCAAUGGGCGAAAGCCUGACGCAGCGACGCCGCGUGAGGGAUGAAGGUCUUCGGAUCGUAAACCUCUGUCAGCAGGGAAGAACGGUCACUGUGCUAAUCAGCAGUGAAUUGACGGUACCUGCAAAGGAAGCACCGGCUCACUCCGUGCCAGCAGCCGCGGUAAUACGGAGGGUGCGAGCGUUAAUCGGAAUUACUGGGCGUAAAGCGAUCGUAGGCGGUAUGUCAAGUCAAGGGUGAAAUCCCCGCGCUCAACGUGGGAACUGCCUUUGAUACUGGCAAACUGGAGUGUGUGAGAGGAUAGUGGAAUUCCAGGUGUAGGAGUGAAAUGCGUGGAUAUCUGGAGGAACAUCAGUGGCGAAGGCGACUAUCUGGCACAUAACUGACGCUGAGGAGCGAAAGCGUGGGUAGCAAACAGGAUUAGAUACCCGAGUAGUC